CAGAGUUAUCCAACUCCCAAACCCAUGUGAACUUAUCUCUUUGUUGCCUCGGCGCAAGCUACCCGGGACCCCAGCGCCCCGGGCGGCCCGCCGGCGGACAAACCAAAACUCUUGUUAUCUUAGUUGAUUAUCUGAGUGUCUUAUUUAAUAAGUCA
RNAcentral lists this unclassified non-coding RNA (155 nucleotides) under soil metagenome. RNAcentral describes it as "partial internal transcribed spacer 1". The record is from RNAcentral.